RNAcentral lists this ribosomal RNA (573 nucleotides) under Bacillus licheniformis. RNAcentral's name for it is "bacterial SSU rRNA". It matches the Rfam family "Bacterial small subunit ribosomal RNA", at positions 94 to 650 of the family's 1533-position model. Lineage: Bacteria; Bacillati; Bacillota; Bacilli; Caryophanales; Bacillaceae. The record is from RNAcentral.
AGCGGCGGACGGGUGAGUAACACGUGGGUAACCUGCCUGUAAGACUGGGAUAACUCCGGGAAACCGGGGCUAAUACCGGAUGCUUGAUUGAACCGCAUGGUUCAAUUAUAAAAGGUGGCUUUUACCUACCACUUACAGAUGGACCCGCGGCGCAUUACCUAGUUGGUGAGGUAACGGCUCACCAAGGCAACAAUGCGUACCCAACCUGAGAGGGUGAUCGGCCACACUGGGACUGAAACACGGCCCAAACUCCUACGGGAGGCAGCAGUAGGGAAUCUUCCGCAAUGGACAAAAGUCUGACGGACCAACGCCGCGUGAGUGAUGAAGGUUUUCGGAUCGUAAAACUCUGUUGUUAGGGAAAAACAAGUACCGUUCAAAUAGGGCGGUACCUUGACGGUACCUAACCAGAAAGCCACGGCUAACUACUUGCCAGCAGCCGCGGUAAUACGUAGGUGGCAAGCGUUGUCCGGAAUUAUUGGGCGUAAAGCGCGCGCAGGCGGUUUCUUAAGUCUGAUGUGAAAGCCCCCGGGCUCAACCGGGGAGGGUCAUUGGAAACGGGGGAACUUGAGUGCA